Molecule: ribosomal RNA, 253 nt
Filed under: uncultured bacterium
Lineage: Bacteria
Description: partial 16S ribosomal RNA
Rfam family: Bacterial small subunit ribosomal RNA
Source: RNAcentral
GACGAACCGUGCGAACGUUGUUCGGAAUCACUGGGCUUAAAGGGCGCGUAGGCGGGCUAACAAGUCUGGGGUGAAAUGCCGCGGCUCAACCGUGGAACUGCCUCAGAUACUGUCGGCCUCGAGGAAGGUAGGGGCAUGCGGAACUGUAAGUGGAGCGGUGAAAUGCGUAGAUAUCGUUUGGAACGCCAAUGGUGAAAACAGCUAGCUGGGGAUGUGCCGACGCUGAGACACGAAAGCCAGGGGAGCGAACGGG